UACCCCGUGGUGUAAUUGGUAGCACAGCAGAUUCUGGUUCUGCUAGUUCUGGUUCGAGUCCAGGCGGGGUAACCA
Molecule: transfer RNA, 75 nt
Filed under: Planctomycetota bacterium
Lineage: Bacteria; Pseudomonadati; Planctomycetota
Description: Planctomycetes bacterium (activated sludge metagenome) tRNA-Gln
Rfam family: tRNA
About the family: Transfer RNA (tRNA) molecules are approximately 80 nucleotides in length.
Source: RNAcentral